CACUCCUACGGGAGGCAGCAGUGGGGAAUAUUGGACAAUGGGCGCAAGCCUGAUCCAGCCAUGCCGCGUGAGUGAUGAAGGCCCUAGGGUUGUAAAGCUCUUUCACCGGUGAAGAUAAUGACGGUAACCGGAGAAGAAGCCCCGGCUAACUUCGUGCCAGCAGCCGCGGUAAUACGAAGGGGGCUAGCGUUGUUCGGAUUUACUGGGCGUAAAGCGCACGUAGGCGGACUAUUAAGUCAGGGGUGAAAUCCCGGGGCUCAACCCCGGAACUGCCUUUGAUACUGGUAGUCUUGAGUUCGAGAGAGGUGAGUGGAAUUCCGAGUGUAGAGGUGAAAUUCGUAGAUAUUCGGAGGAACACCAGUGGCGAAGGCGGCUCACUGGCUCGAUACUGACGCUGAGGUGCGAAAGCGUGGGGAGCAAACAGGAUUAGAUACCCUUGUAGUCCC
This 446-nucleotide ribosomal RNA is filed under the name uncultured organism. Its description in RNAcentral is "partial 16S ribosomal RNA". It matches the Rfam family "Bacterial small subunit ribosomal RNA", at positions 334 to 797 of the family's 1533-position model. The record is from RNAcentral.